GGCCGCCUGUCCCCCGAGUGGGCUCAGACUCGGACUCAGGUGCGGUCCCAUGCCCGCCACGCCGGCCGCCCCAGCUGAGCCGCUCAUGCCCGCCAUGGCGCCCGCGCCCGGGGACAUGCCAGCCAGCGACGGGCUCAUUCCAGCGCCCACAUAGGAUGACAUGUUCAUGGAGCCUGCGCUCAUGUUGCCGGAACCACUGCCCAUUGCAGCCGCGGACAUGCUCAUGUAAGUGUUCAUGCCAUUCAUCCCCAGGCUGGCGUUCAUGUUGCUCACGGAAGAGUAGCCCUGCGGACAGAGCCCGGGGAGGAGACAGGUUAGCACCUAGGCUGAGCUCGCCCGAUCCUCUCACCCAUAGGUUGCACCCAGUCCCCCGCCUUCGUGCAGGCCUCCGGGAUCUCUUUCUUUCCCUGGGUCCCAGUGCACCAACACCAAGUCCUCUGGGCCUCAGAGAGUCCUGGAAAGGUGGUAGCCCGAGGGCCAGCGGGUUGCCGUUCUGGGUCUGAGGCUCAGCCUCGCCCUCAUUCUAGAACUUUGGAGUCCUGGAUCGCCAACAAGUCAGGAGCCUCAAAUCCAUUUUACUCUCCCUAGGGGCUCCUCACACCAGCUGGCUAGCACACUGAGUCAGCACCAAGGCCGGAAAUCUCCGUUGCUACCCCUGGUCGCCAAAAGCCACCCUUGGAACGUCACUAGGGCAGUCUCAAGUGGAAAUCAUCUCAGUGUCCCUGUUCUGGGGCUUCAUACUGGGACCCGACUCUUUAGUUACAGGGGAGUGAAGCGCAGUGCCUGCACAGAGUCCGGGAGCAGCUGGAGGCACUGCGUGGAGGAAUAAGGAAGCUCCGAGAAAGGGUCGGUCUGCGCAUGACGCCACCUGGGACAUUGGAGAAGUGGUGUCUUUGAUCAUCCCAGCACCACUGGCGGCUGGCUAUCAGUGAACAGCCCGGGAGCAGGAAGCCCGAAGACUGCGGAGCGAGGGGAAACAUAUGGCAGCCCAGGGUCUCUCCCUAGGCUUCAGACUUUGCAGGCGUUCGUUCUCAUUGGCGCGUACACCGGUCCUCCCCGGAGCCGCUGCGAUUUCUAAAGGUUUAUUCAGAGCCUUGGCACCAGAACUUCAAGCUGGAAUGCUGCGAACUGCCCCAGGUGCCUCUCUCCAGGAAAAAGUUCUCGGGAGCUCCAGGCUACACACAGAUGUCUGCGCUGAUCCCCAGCAGUUUAAACCUCACCCGGGGCCAAGCCAUACAAAGCGUUCCUUUGCCUGCGCCCUCCCUUUGGUCCUUUCUUCAGUCCAGCACCGCAGCGGCAUGUAAAGCCUCUUUACAAAUGACCACUGAUCUCCUAGGUUUGUUUUUAUUUUAGAAAUCGCACUGGCUGCAAUAGGGCCCCUCUGAUUUGGCCUCAAAUAUUGGCUAUCUCUGAUGUCGCUGGGGAGAGAUUGAAUUCCAGUGUUCCUUAGCAAAACUGCUCCCCAGAGUUUUCUGUCAAUGAAACUAGCUGAAGAGGACAUCAAUAAAUAGAACUCGGUUUCC
Rattus norvegicus (Norway rat) is the source of this 1523-nucleotide non-coding RNA. The record is from RefSeq and is a predicted model, not a curated record. Lineage: Eukaryota; Metazoa; Chordata; Mammalia; Rodentia; Muridae.